GGGGAUGACAUGGCUUUGACAGCGUGUAGAGGUGGUAAGCAAGCAUGCAGAGCGAUAAUGGCAAUGCUCUAUAAUCUCAGUCAUUGACAAUUUAAUUGGCGAAAACAACUUUGCUCUCGCUGCCUAACCGAAGUAUAGUAAGUUGGCUUUAUUGCUGCCCAAGGCGGUAGCAACGAGACAUCACCCGAUUGCCCAUUUUCCGAGGCGUUUCGAUAUGGUGGUGCAGGAAUAUCGGAAAUAGCUGAAUUUGUGUCUCGAAGAUUCGGCGAAAUUUAGAGAAUAAGCGAUGAGUUGGUGGUCUUGAUCCUGCUGAUCGUCGAAAAUGAAGUCAAGACUAAGCAUGUAGAAACCUUAUUAGUUCCGCGUUUGGACGAGGGUUCAAUCCCCUCCAUCUCCACA
This 399-nucleotide transfer-messenger RNA is filed under the name pig gut metagenome. It matches the Rfam family "transfer-messenger RNA". From Rfam's summary of the family: Bacterial tmRNA, also known as 10Sa RNA or SsrA, is named for its dual tRNA and mRNA-like properties. Its role is to liberate the mRNA from a stalled ribosome. The record is from RNAcentral.